RNAcentral lists this ribosomal RNA (209 nucleotides) under Camponotus christi foersteri. RNAcentral's name for it is "partial 12S ribosomal RNA". Lineage: Eukaryota; Metazoa; Arthropoda; Insecta; Hymenoptera; Formicidae. The record is from RNAcentral.
GAUAAUUUUAUGUAUUUUURUGUAUUGUUGUKGGAAAAUUGUWUURAGAGAUAAAAAUUAAAAAAUUUAAUUAAAUUAUAAUUCAAMUCAAAAUGUAGAAUAAUURAGAAUUUAARUGAGUCACAAUUAWGUAAAUAAUUGAAUUUUAUAAUUUAAUUUAUAAAUGAAAGUGGAUUUAAAAGUAAAUUUAUAAAAAUAUAUAAUUGAAA